This 263-nucleotide ribosomal RNA is filed under the name Escherichia coli. RNAcentral's name for it is "partial 16S ribosomal RNA". It matches the Rfam family "Bacterial small subunit ribosomal RNA", at positions 1 to 260 of the family's 1533-position model. The record is from RNAcentral. Lineage: Bacteria; Pseudomonadati; Pseudomonadota; Gammaproteobacteria; Enterobacterales; Enterobacteriaceae.
AAAUUGAAGAGUUUGAUCAUGGCUCAGAUUGAACGCUGGCGGCAGGCCUAACACAUGCAAGUCGAACGGUAACAGGAAGCAGCUUGCUGCUUCGCUGAUGAGUGGCGGACGGGUGAGUAAUGUCUGGGAAACUGCCUGAUGGAGGGGGAUAACUACUGGAAACGGUAGCUAAUACCGCAUAACGUUGAAAGACCAAAGAGGGGGACCUUCGGGCCUCUUGCCAUCGGAUGUGCCCAGAUGGGAUUAGCUUGUUGGUGGGGUAA